UUUGUAGUUUUUUAGAGCAUUCGGUGGAUGCCUUGGCACUAGGAGCCGAUGAAGGACGUGGUAGUCCGCGAUAGGCCUCGGGGAGUUGACAAACGAGCGUUGAUCCGAGGGUGUCCGAAUGGGGGAACCCGGCCAGAGUUAUGUCUGGUUACCCGCGCUUGAAUGUAUAGGGCGUGUGGGGGGAACGCGGGGAAGUGAAACAUCUCAGUACCCGUAGGAAAAGAUAUUCCGUGAGUAGUGGCGAGCGAAAGCGGAUGAUGGCUAAACCAGGGGUGUGUGAUACUCGGCAGGGGUUGCAUUCUUGGGGUUGUGGGACGCGUGCGUCAUGGUCUGCCGGCUGUGGACGAGUGGCAUUGGGUGUAGGUGAAAGGUCUGGGAAGGCCUGCCGUAGACGGUGAGAGCCCGGUAACUGAAAUGUCUGGUGUGCUUGUUGUGUGUGUUCCCGAGUAGGACGGGGCCCGUGAAAUCCCGUGUGAAUCUGGCAAGACCACUUGCUAAGCCUGAAUACUACCUAGUGACCGAUAGCGGAUCAGUACCGUGAGGGAAUGGUGAAAAGUACCCCGUGAGGGGAGUGAAAUAGUACCUGAAACCGGAUGCUUACAAUCCGUCGGAGCCUUCUUUUUGUGGGGUGACGGCGUGCCUUUUGAAGAAUGAGCCUGCGAGUUACUGGUAUGUGGCGAGGUUAACCCGGGUGGGGAAGCCGUAGCGAAAGCGAGUCUGAAAUAUGGCGUUUUAGUCGCAUGCUGUAGACCCGAAGCGGAGUGAUCUACCCAUGGUCAGGUUGAAGCACGUGUAAGAGCGUGUGGAGGACCGAACCCACUUCAGUUGAAAAUGGAGGGGAUGAACUGUGGGUAGGGGUGAAAGGCCAAUCAAACUCCGUGAUAGCUGGUUCUCCCCGAAAUGCAUUUAGGUGCAGCGUUACGUGUGCUUGCUGGAGGUAGAGCUACUGGAUGGCCGAUGGGCCCUACAAGGUUACUGACGUCAACCAAACUCCGAAUGCCAGUAUAGUUGAGCGUGGCAGUGAGACUGCGGGGGAUAAGCUUCGUAGUCGAGAGGGAAACAGCCCAGAUCACCGGCUAAGGCCCCUAAGCGUGUGCUCAGUGGGAAAGGAUGUGGAGUUGCACAGACAACCAGGAGGUUGGCUUAGAAGCAGCCAUCCUUGAAAGAGUGCGUAAUAGCUCACUGGUCAAGUGAUUCCGCGCCGACAAUGUAGCGGGGCUCAAGCACACCGCCGAAGCCGUGGCAUCAACACGUUAUUCCCCC
RNAcentral lists this non-coding RNA (1263 nucleotides) under Buchananella hordeovulneris. RNAcentral's name for it is "Actinomyces hordeovulneris Bacterial large subunit ribosomal RNA". It matches the Rfam family "Bacterial large subunit ribosomal RNA", at positions 1 to 1220 of the family's 2925-position model. The record is from Rfam by way of RNAcentral. Lineage: Bacteria; Bacillati; Actinomycetota; Actinomycetes; Actinomycetales; Actinomycetaceae.